CCUACGGGAGGCAGCAGUGAGGAAUAUUGGUCAAUGGGCGCGAGCCUGAACCAGCCAAGUCGCGUGAGGGAAGACGGUCCUAUGGAUUGUAAACCUCUUUUGUCGGGGAGCAAAAGACGCCACGCGUUGCGUUCCGAGAGUACCCGAAGAAAAAGCAUCGGCUAACUCCGUGCCAGCAGCCGCGGUACUACGGAGGAUGCGAGCGUUAUCCGGAUGUAUUGGGUUGAAAGGGGGCGCAGGCGGAAGAUCAAGUCAUGGGUAAAAUUGAGUGGCUCAACCUCUUCGAGCCGUUGAAACUGGUUUGCUUGAGUGAGUGAGAAGUAUGCGGAAUGCGUGGUGUAGCGGUGAAAUGCAUAGAUAUCACGCAGAACUCCGAUUGCGAAGGCAGCAUACCGGCGCGCAACUGACGCUCAGGCACGAAAGUGUGGGUAUCGAACAGGAUUAGAUACCCCAGUAGUC
This 459-nucleotide ribosomal RNA is filed under the name uncultured bacterium. RNAcentral describes it as "partial 16S ribosomal RNA". It matches the Rfam family "Bacterial small subunit ribosomal RNA", at positions 338 to 795 of the family's 1533-position model. The record is from RNAcentral.